UUCUUUUUAUUUUUAGCUGAAAAGACGUUAAGGCAGUCAGCCCAGUGGUGUUUCUGGAGAGGGAUUCCUUCAGAAAUGGAGAAGACAGAAAGCUGCGGAGGCAGAUAUAUGCAGCAUGUUCGAGUGAGCAUGAUGACCACAAGUGUGUGUCGAACUUUUCAUGACCUGAUGACUGUGUUUCCCAAUCCUGAUCCUGGAGAAGCCCAGCACUGCACGGUUUUGGUGUCUCUCUUAUCUGCCUUGGAGUCUUCACUGAUGAGCUGAUGAGUUGAAUCAGGAUUGUUUGAGGAUAAGGCUGUAGCUCCAUCAUGCACAAGGACUCACCUCGUUAACUCUUUUCCCCCGCACACACAGAAAUGGUCCCUGGAUCAGUGAUUAGACUUUGCAGUGGUUUGAUUUUUGCAGAAGAUGUAACUUUGUUUUAAUUAUAAGCUCAUAAUGAAUACAUUACAGAACCAGUGAUGAAAACAAUAGUUAAAAAUAGCGCUCCAUAUUAAAAAUAUAUUGCACACUUGACAUGCAUGUCUUCAUGGUGUUUUUUUGUGAGUUUGAAACAUUUACAUUGUGUCGUAUAACAUUUUGGUCACAACACUUUUUCCAGUGUUCUCUGAAAGACAUACUGUAUUUACUGUUUUGUUUUUUAAUAAAAGCAUUUUCAUUUGCAUACUGAAAAUAGUUAAUGUUUACAACAUAACUGCCUUUUUAUUCUUUAUGGUGGCAAAAACGAGCUUGGUGACAGAGGAUGCAGUGUAGUAAUUUGGGCAUGUUGUCUUUAAAUGAGUUUGACAUAUAAAUAAAUAAUGGAAGAUCCUUACAAAAAUAUGCAUGUUUAUUAUGCUUUAUGUAUUUA
Molecule: long non-coding RNA, 850 nt
Organism: Carassius gibelio (silver crucian carp)
Lineage: Eukaryota; Metazoa; Chordata; Actinopteri; Cypriniformes; Cyprinidae
Exons: 3
Source: RefSeq, a predicted model, not a curated record